GUCUUUUUGAUUUUUAUUAAAAGUUUAACCUGCCCAUUGAAAAUUUUUAAAAGGCUGCAGUAUUUUGACUGUACAAAGGUAGCAUAAUCAUUAGUUUUUUAAUUGAAAACUUGUAUGAAUGGUUGAAUGAGAAAUUAACUUUUUUAAAAAAAUAAUUGAAUUUUACUUUUUAAUUAAAAGGUUAAAAUAAAUUUAAAAGACGAGAAGACCCUAUAGAGUUUUAUAAUUUUUAUUUAAUAUUUUAAAAAGAUAAAUUUAAAUUUUAUAAAAAAAAUUAUUUUGUUGGGGUGAUUAUAAAAUUUAAGAAACUUUUAUUUUUUUUUACAUUAAUAUAUGAUUUUAUGAACCAUUAUUUAAUGAUUAAAAAUUUAAAUUACCUUAGGGAUAACAGCGUAAUUUUUUUUUCAAGUUCAUAUUAAUAAAAAAUUUUGCGACCUCGAUGUUGGAUUAAGAUUUAAUUUUAGGUGCAGCAGUUUAAAUUUUAAGUCUGUUCGACUUUUAAAUUCUU
Molecule: ribosomal RNA, 508 nt
Filed under: Pseudolycoriella jaschhofi
Lineage: Eukaryota; Metazoa; Arthropoda; Insecta; Diptera; Sciaridae
Description: partial large subunit ribosomal RNA
Source: RNAcentral